GAUGGUCUACAAGUCAAACCCUUGAGGUCAUAAGCCUGCAUGGACAUUCCCUCAAAACCCCCCAAAAGAGGCAACCAGGAGAGUGUGUGGAUGGUUUGGUUUGCGGCCCAGUGUGAAGACAACAGUGUCAUUGUUCAUACGCUGGAAGGGUGGAUCCUUUCCUCUGGACAGGUUGUGGUUUCUUCUCUUGCAGUAUGCUAAUGGCUAGGGCACGAGCUAAGCUGACAGGUGAAGGUGGGGAUGGAUGAGUGUGAUGUGACAGAUGUCUGAAGGUGGGGGCGACAAUGACGUCGCUCGAGAUACCAGACUCCAAUGACCUGACUGUGAACCUGGGGGCCAGGAGACCAAAUGAUUGCCUCUCCGAUUAGAGCAACAUACCUGCGGGCUAUUUCCAUAACCUGACCAUACCACACACCAAUUACCCAGAAUUCAACAUGCCUGCUGUGACCUGCCAUGCCAAAAGAGACUUAGCAGACCUCGCUGUAUGUGACAGCUUUACUAACAUGUUCAUUAAUAAGAUCACUUUGCACAGACAUAACUAAAACUAUAUAUGUUUAAAAAAAAUAAAGAAAAAAAUAAAGAUUUAUGCUACUUGAAAUAAAAUAAACA
Cyprinus carpio (common carp) is the source of this 609-nucleotide long non-coding RNA. RefSeq lists it as uncharacterized. The record is from RefSeq and is a predicted model, not a curated record. Lineage: Eukaryota; Metazoa; Chordata; Actinopteri; Cypriniformes; Cyprinidae. The transcript is spliced from 3 exons.